AGGACGAACGCUGGCGGCGUGCCUAAUAUAUGCAAGUGGAACGCAUGAUUGAUACCGUAGCUUGCUACACCAUUAAUCAUGAGUCGCGAACGGGUGAGUAACGCGUAGGUAACCUGCCUACUAGCGGGGGAUAACUAUUGGAAACGAUAGCUAAUACCGCAUAAGAGUUUUUAACACAUGUUAGAGAUUUAAAAGGAGCAAAUGCUUCACUAGUAGAUGGACCUGCGUUGUAUUAGCUAGUUGGUAAGGUAACGGCUUACCAAGGCGACGAUACAUAGCCGACCUGAGAGGGUGAUCGGCCACACUGGGACUGAGACACGGCCCAGACUCCUACGGGAGGCAGCAGUAGGGAAUCUUCGGCAAUGGGGGGAACCCUGACCGAGCAACGCCGCGUGAGUGAAGAAGGUUUUCGGAUCGUAAAGCUCUGUUGUAAGAGAAGAACGUUGAGUAGAGUGGAAAGUUACUCAAGUGACGGUAUCUUACCAGAAAGGGACGGCUAACUACGUGCCAGCAGCGGC
This 518-nucleotide ribosomal RNA is filed under the name uncultured bacterium. RNAcentral describes it as "bacterial SSU rRNA". It matches the Rfam family "Bacterial small subunit ribosomal RNA", at positions 26 to 518 of the family's 1533-position model. The record is from RNAcentral.